Molecule: ribosomal RNA, 435 nt
Filed under: Lautropia mirabilis
Lineage: Bacteria; Pseudomonadati; Pseudomonadota; Betaproteobacteria; Burkholderiales; Burkholderiaceae
Description: bacterial SSU rRNA
Rfam family: Bacterial small subunit ribosomal RNA
Source: RNAcentral
AUUGAACGCUGGCGGCAUGCUUUACACAUGCAAGUCGAACGGCAGCGCGGGCUUCGGCCUGGCGGCGAGUGGCGAACGGGUGAGUAAUACAUCGGAACGUGCCCAGUAGUGGGGGAUAGCUCGGCGAAAGCCGGAUUAAUACCGCAUACGACCUGAGGGUGAAAGCGGGGGAUCUUCGGACCUCGCGCUAUUGGAGCGGCCGAUGGCAGAUUAGCUAGUUGGUGGGGUAAAGGCCUACCAAGGCGACGAUCUGUAGCUGGUCUGAGAGGACGACCAGCCACACUGGGACUGAGACACGGCCCAGACUCCUACGGGAGGCAGCAGUGGGGAAUUUUGGACAAUGGGCGAAACCUGAUCCAGCAAUGCCGCGUGUGUGAUGAAGCCUUCGGGUUGUAAAGCACUUUUGGCGGGAACGAAAGGGACUGUGCCAAUACC